GAGUGGUUCUGCACAAAGGAAAGCACAUUAUUAACUGAAGGACUUCACACACCACGUAUAUGCUUGACAUGGUGCCGGGCGCUACUGGAAGCAUCAACGAAUCAAUCAAAGUGGAGGGGGUAAUGAAUACUCACCACCAGAUGGCAAAAGUGGAGUAACCCACUGCUGAUGAUGGCUGGGAUGAUGCGAGGUAAUUCCUGAAUCUCAUAGCAGCAGAAGUGAACCUUCUCAUCUAGCAGGGUCUUAGUCCACCUGUACAGGAUGGACUGGGCCCAAGGAAAGGCACUUGUUAUUUGAUGCAGAGGUCAGCAAACUAUGGCCCAUGGAAAAAAUCCAGCCCACUGCCUGUUUUUGUAAAUAAAGUAUAAUUAGCACACAGCUGCACCUAUUAUUUCUGUAUUGUCUAUGCUUAUUUCAUGCUGUGACAGCAGAGCUGAGUAGUUGUGACAGGGACCUUCUGACCCCAAACCCUAAAAUAUUUACUCUUGCCCUUUAUAGAAAGUGUGUUUGCUCUUACUGUAAAUACAGAAGACUUUAUAUAACAGGCAGAACUUGGAACUUGAUCCAGACAGGAAAAUUAAAACUCUGACCAUGGGAGAGGGAGUCACAAACUCCAAGUUCUGAUGAGAUCCUGUUAUUCAGUCUUUGUAUUAUCUAGAGAACAUAGCAGCAGCUUUGAGUCUCAUUGUUCUGAUUUGUAAAAUGGACACAGUACUACCUGCUCAUGAAUUCAGAAGACUGGAUGACACAAUGGAUGAUAAUCAUUAAUAGCUAAAUUUUAUUGCAGACUUAUUGAUCAGGAAUUUUUUUUUGGCAAGUACUUAGCUAUUUAUUUGAACCUCAGUGUAACCCUAUGAAUGGGUUACUUGGUAUAAAGGCAUUUCUCAUUAGAAACUGUUAGUGUGCUCUUCUCUUUUGCACUGUCAGUGCUGUGAUCCUUGUCCUUGUAACUCAAAGGCUGACAUCUGCCUAGAGUAGGGGGAAGAAGCCUGGGAUUUGGUAAGAAAGGAAAUUUGUACCAGAGGAGGAGAUAAUUCUUCAUUUCUGAGAUGCAAAAGUAAAGCUGAUGACAGGACAAUUUGCAAAUUGGACAAUGUACUUGCAGCAAGAUUUAUGAUUUUUAUUCUCUUUUUGGAGUAUGGUGGAAUUGGGAUACGCAUAGAGGAUCUCUUUUAUAGAGUUGCUCCAUUCUAUGAAAUGGAUAUCCCUUCUGUUCAUGCAGCUUAGCUUAUUUUGGGGUUUCAGAAUGUAGGAGGAGUAAAAGGCCAAUAGCCCUUCCCUUUUCUGGGCUAAUUAAUUAUAGGAAGAGAAAUUGAAAGCAGAGUGGGAAAGAGGAUGGAGUGUGGCUGGACUUGUCCAGUCCUAGGAUUGGGAGCAAGGAAGGUGGUUCUAUUACAUAAUUGAGGAGUUUGGACCAGCAUCUCAUCUGGGACUGCCACAGCAUUGACCUGGGGCAGGUUGUACAGGUGGAUGGAAGGAGCUUCUUGGCUUUAGGUUCGCUAGCACCAUAGGAUGGAACUUGAGCAGGAGUCAUGGACCUGCCAUGGGGCUCUGUCAUAUGGCAUGAAGGGAAAACACUAGAGAUUUGGGUGUGUGGCAGCAGGAAAGUCUGAGAGAGUUAGCUUGUAGCCAUGGGCUUGAUCCAAGAAGAGACAGAAGCCAGACUCCAGCUGUAGGUGCCAGCAUGCAGCAGAAACCGGGGGAUCAGGACCUUGUCCCUGGACAUCUGAGGACUCACUAAGCCAGAAACCUUGAGCUUCUCAGACACGAAGGCUCACUUGGUUUCUCAUCAUGAUACCUUGAUGCCUGCUUAAGGGAGAGAGACAGCGGAGGGAGUCUCUGAUGGUCUGAGCAUUUUGUUGGGGGAGACUGAGCUAAAGUUUUAUGCUGAGCUCAGUUUUAAACAAGAAUUUUUUUAAAAUUUCUUCUCUACAUUCCUCCUGUCCCUGCCACAAUUUCUACUAAUAGAGAAUGAGGGUGGGAAAGUCAGAUUAACUGUGGUAAACGUGUUUACAAUUGUAGAUGCUUUAGACUUAUUGCGGCAUUAUUUCCUGAUAAACCCACCUUAAGUUGAAAAUAUGGUCUGUCUAAAAUGUACUUAAACAUUUCGCUUAGCAAAUGUCAUCGCUUAGUUUUGUCUCCCUUACAUGUCUAUGGAACACUCACAUUAGCCUCCAGGUGGGCAAAAUCAUCUAACUUGAAGGGUCUUUCAUAAUAAAUAAAGUCUCAUGUAAUUUAUUGACUGCUGUUCUGAAAGUGAAAAAUAAAAAUGAAUGCACUUUAACACAAUCAUUAACUCAGGCCAUUGUAAGUCAGGGACUUAUAUAUGGAUUUUGAAAUUCAUGCAAAGUUUUUCCAUAAUCUACAUUUUCCUUGAGCUUCUUGAAGAGUCCUUGUAUACAUGGAUUUCAUCUUUUAUACUCAGAUGUCUUUUAAUUUAACUUUCUAUGAAUUUUUAUAGAUUUUUUAGUGCAAACAAGUUGUAUUGUGAAUUAAAAGCAACUAACAAUCACUUAACAUUAUCAUGACCUUGAUUUACAUUCUUCUUUCUGACUCCAGAAUUAGGUUGCUACUGAACACUUUCAGGACUUACAUAAACUUUAAAAGCUGCUGUAGUUCUUACUGUAAUUAUCAUUGUUAAGAUUAAAAUUCAGGCUAGACUCAGUGCUCUGGAAGACACUAGAUGUGAGCAAAUGUGAAGCAGGGUCUUGGGAAACAAUGAAUGAGAGCAACAAUGGGCUACUUACUUAUACAUAGAUCUGAACCAUAGCCCACCUGGGGGUCCUGGCACAAGCCAGGGCUGUCUUUUCAGUCAUGCAUUAUUUUUUGCUUUCUCUAUGUUUUCAGCUUCACUUUAAAGAAAAGGUGGAAAGCAGUCCUGGAAAUGGAAGGGCUCUAGCUCUACAGGAGACCUUGCAAGGACUGGUUUCUCUCCUGGUCUCCAGCCUCAUGCCAGUUGCUCAGAACAGGUACAAAAGGAGGAGCAGGUGGUGGUUAGACAGCAGGUGCAGAGGGGCCAGGGUGAGAUGCAAGGGGAAGCAGUGCUUCUCCUCACCUCCAAAGGCUAGAGUUAGCCUCUGAAGCCCUGGCUGUGGUCUAGCUAGCUGGCAACUCCUCCUGCAUGCCAGACAGAGAAUGAGUGCUGAGCCCUUGGAACACCAUCUGCUGUGCAUGUCCUGGUACACGCUGGUUGCUUGACUUUGAGUGAUUUGGAAGUUACUUAUGCAACAAGCUCUAAGUUCAAUCUCCAAACACAGUUUUCCUACAAAGCAACUGUUUGCCCUCUUCAUGAGAGGUCGCUGAACUCUGUGAUGAUUCUGGUGGGAACAGGCUAUCAUGAUAGCUCAUCUGUAGCUACUCUUUGGGAGAAGAAAAAUAAUACUUUAUAGAAAUGAUUAGGAUUGAGUUAGAGUUGUGAAUAGGGCCUGGCUUUGGUCCUAUCCUAUAGAAUUCAUCCCAAAUAUGUUCUAAUGUGUAGGCAAGUUUCCAAGUUAGAAACUACAGGGCUGAAAUGUGGCUAAGUCUAGGUUGGAAAGCAGGCAUCCUAAUGUCUCCACCUGCCACAGCAGCUGAGAGGAAGAAUCAAUGAGGGUUGGAUUUAGUCUGAGCAAUGUGUUUUUUCUAUGAAUGUUUGCCUAUUUACAUCCAUCUUACUGAAAUUAUUAAAAGCACAAAGGAAUGGGUUUGUAGAAAACUUUUCCUUCUGUUAUUUUUGUUUUCCUGUACUGUCCACAGUUUUUACAAUGCAUGCAUUCUUUGUUUCUUUGGAGAAAAAAAAAAGACACUGUAAAACAAAGUGUGCAUGUGUGUGGGAGGAAUAGAGUCUGGUUAAUGGGAACCAAAUCAGAGUUAGGUCAAAGGAAUCGGUUCUUAGUGUUACAGAGCAUAGAGGGGUGACUACAGUUUAUAAUACCCUAGUAUAUUUUUUAUGAACAAUAGAAGAAAAGAGCUGCAAGCCUCCAGUCAUGAAGGAAAGUGCCUGAAGGGGAAAUGCUGAUUACCCUGAUUAAAAUGCCACAUGGUAGUCCAUGGAAGAGUACAGUUUUUAAUAAAAUUUCUUUUUCAAACAGAAUGAACACUUGAAUCUUAACAGCUGUAAACCCUCUGUGACCUCAGAUUGUGGUGAGGAGUAGGAAAGAGGGUGAAGAGAGCCCCUUUUAAGGAUCCAGCCUUGCUUGCUCACCCCAUCUAAUUCAUAAAGGAGUGUCAAGACUGCUGCACAGACAGUGGUCUGGGGUCAGAUGACAUUAAGGAAUGGUUGCUUAAUUUUCUUGUGGGUAAUGAGAUGUUGAGGAUAAAUAGGCAGAAGCCCUUUUGAGGGUACUUCAGAAACUUCAUGGAAAAUACUCAUGAAAAAUCAUGCAUGAUUUCAACAUUUUUUGCACCAAAAUAAAUGUAUUUUUAAUCUUAUUUUUCCAUGAACCUUUUGAAAAAUUCACUUUUUUGUAGGAGAUACAGAGUGGAAAUGCUGAAGGGUGAAGUGCCAUGUGUGCUGCUCAGUUUGGCACGUUUUCAGUAAAGAAAAUGCAAAGCAAAUACUGCAAAAAGGUACACGGUAUUGGGUUUGAUGAUUGCUGUCUGUGUAUUCUUAGCACUCUUCUGUUGCUUUCCUGCUUGUUUGAAACUUUUUCUAACAAAAAGUUGAAAACGAAAACAAAGACUUGCUUCAGUUUUCCCUUUCUUUCAUCUAUUAUUCCUCUUCUUUUUGUCUUGAACCUUCUUGCCUUUUCCUUCACCUACCUGAACUGGCACAAGUGUGGCUGACAAGGAAGCCUGUUCCUGGCGGGGAUGAAGAAAACAAGUCAUUCUGGGUGCUCAUCAAUGCCAUCCUCCCUACCAUUUGACACCCAGCACCCUAUCCUCUAACAUCUGUGUGUUGGUGUAAGACUGUUCAUUGCGCUGUUGUUUGUCCUACUUUCAACUGGAAAUAACCUUCAUUUUCAUGUUAAGUAGAGGGCCAAAUAGUUCAAGAUGCAUCUAUACAAUGAAAGAGCAUGCAGGCAAAGCAAGCUUGUGUGUGUUUUUUUUAAAUUAUUUGAGUUAUUUUUGUUAUUUACGUUGUUCUGAAAACAAAAAGAAAAAUAAAAGCAAAUAAACUUCCAGUCACUCAAAUAGUCAAAACAAAAAGGCAUCUUAAUACAAAUGUGGACACUUUAAAGAUGACUUUUCAAAGAGGAUAUCCAUGUGGUUAUUAAAUAUUCAAAAUAUUCAACAUAGGUAAUUCAUAAUCAGGUAAUUUAAAAUUGAAGCCAUAGUGAGGUGUCUCUGGAGACCAACUGAAUUGGCUAAAACGAAAGUCUGAUAUAAUUUAAAGGGUUAGAGAGGAUGUAGGGACACUGGACACUGCACACUGAGAUUGGGUGUGUACAUUAGUAGUCAAGUCACUCAAGAAAAGUAGUUUGACAUAAUGUAAUUUAAAGGUACACAUUCGGCCGGCGCCGUGGCUCACUAGGCUAAUCCUCCACCUUGCGGCGCCGACACACAGGGUUCUAGUCCCGGUCGGGGCGCCGGAUUCUGUCCCGGUUGCCCCUCUUCCAGGCCAGCUCUCUGCUGUGGCCAGAGAGUGCAGUGGAGGAUGGCGCAAGUCCUUGGGCCCUGCACCCCAUGGGAAACCAGGAGAGGCACCUGGCUCCUGGCUUCGGAUCAGCGCGGUGCGCCGGCCGCGGUGGCCGUUGGAGGGUGAACCAAAGGCAAAGGAAGACCUUUCUCUCUCUCUCUCUCUCUCACUGUCCACUCUGCCUGUCAAAAUAAAUAAAUAAAGGUACUCAUUCUUUAGGAUUCAGCAAUUCCUUCCUAGGAGUAUUCUGUGAAGAAAUUCAUGUGUAGACAUAGUAUGAAACAUAUGUGAGAGUAUAAGAGUACAUUUGAACUGGCAACAUCUCAAAUACCCAUCCACGGUAGUAUGAAUAAGUGAGUUGUAAUUUGUUAUAUAGUAGACUAUUGUACUGCAAGAAAAAUGUACAAACGAUAACUCUAAGAAACAUUUUAAAUUAAUGUCAAACACAAUGUUAAGCAAAAGAAGCAAGAAAAAUAAGAAUUCCCACUACACACAAUCUAAAAAGCAGGCAAUAAUUAGAUGAUAUUGUUCAGGUUUGCUUGCAUAGAAUGUUAAAUCAUAAACCAAAUCAAGGAAAUAAUGACCUUGAAACUCAGCACUGGUGUUAACUUGGUGGGGAGUUAGAAGUCUGUGAUUGGCACAGACACAUGGGGGCUUUCUGGCCAUGUGCUAGGUUUCCUCCUGGGCGGUGAUUACACUUGAGUCCCUUCUGUUGCUCAGUAGAAUAUUUAUGUGAUACAUUUUCUAUGACUCUGUAUAAUGCACUUUGCUGUACUUCUUGGUGAUUAUUACAUAGAAACAUUAAAAUUGAUAUGCAGAAUAUAAUCGUGCUUUCUCCUGUUACUUCUAUAUGUUUUUUUUUUCUUCCGUCUUUAUAAGAUUGCAGAGAUAAGCAUCUUGUCAUGCACUUAUUAGUCAUCCUGAAGUGGUAAAAUAUAUUUUUAUUUUUCUUGAUUGUGUUAUUCAUCUUCUCACUACUGAGGAGUAUAAAGAGGUAUUUUAUAUAUUCAGGAUUCUAGUCCAUUGCCAAAUGAAUGUGAAUAUAUACGAAUCUUUUCUUCUGGUCUGUGGUUUACUUUCUUAUUAUUGUUUUCAAUCUUAAUUUUAGAAGAAUAAAAGCUCUUAAUUUCAUAAACCUCCUUUGACCAGGUGUGUUUAUUUGUUUAAAGCUCUUUUCUAGUUUUUUUUCUUUAAUCUUGACAAACUCAAAGUUUGUGAAGAUUUCCUCUUAUGCCUUCUCCUGGAAACAGUAUUGUUUUAGCUUUUAUGGCCCUGUCUAAAAUUCAGUUCAUAUGAUUUUGUGUAUGAUGUGAUUUUCUUCAUAAAUACCAUUUUUCUAUAUUACUGCUCCUCAUUUGUUCCAGCAUUGUUUGUUGAAAACAUCUAUCCUUUUAUCAUUAUAUUACUUCCAUUCCAUUGUUGCAAACAUAUUGACUAUGUUGGGGGCCUGGUUCUGGAUUCUGGAUUCUGUUCCCUUUAUUUAUAUAUCCAUCUUUAUGCCAAUACUUAACACUCUUGGCUACUGAUUUCAUAAUAGGAUUUGAAAUAGGAUAGUGAAAGUCCUCCUUUGUUUCUUUUUAUCAAAAUAGUCUUGCUUACACUAGAUAUUUUACAUUUUAAUAUAAAUUCUAGAAUUGGCUUGUCAAUUCUUACAAAAUUAUGCUGAGAUUUUCAUUACAAUAAUCUAUAGCUUAAUUUGGGAAAAAUUGACACCUCAAUCUAUCACGUCUUCUAAUUUACAAACAUGGAGUUUCUCUCUGUUUAAUUAAGUCAUCUUUAAUUUUCUAAGCAAUAUUUGCGGUUUUCAGUUUAUAAGUCUCACACAUAUUUUGCUGAUUUUAUUUCUAAGCACUUUAUAAUUUAAAUUUUUUAUCGUAAAUUAUUCUUCUCUUAAAUUUUGAUUUCCAAGUGUUCAUUUUUAGUAUUUAGAAACAUAAUAGACAUGUAAAAAAUAAUUAUUUAUUUGAAAGGCAGAGAGACAGAAAGAGACAGGGAGAGACAGAAAGAUUGUCCCUGUUUGUUUACUCCCCCUGGGCUGGGCCAAGCUGAAGCCCGGAGCUGGGAACUCCACCUGGAUCUUUCACAGGCAUGGCAGGGACUCAAGUACCUGAGCUGUAAUGGGCUGCUCCCUAGCAUAGUAGCAGGGUGCUGGCUUGGAAAUGAGCUAGCUGUGAUGUAAACAGGAAUUGCGAUAUGGGAUGCAAACAUGUGAAACGGUGGCUUAACCUGCUAUGGCACAGCUCCAGCCCGUGGUUUUUGGAUAUAGACUUUGUAUUCAGCAAAUUGCUCUACCAGUUAGGACCCAUUCAGGUAACAGAAACCAAUAAGUAGAAUACAGCAUUUUAAUACAGUUUUAUUUCUUUAAGAAGGUGUAAUUUAACAGUAAAGGAAGAGUAAUUACUACAUGGAGUAAAAGAGAUAUGGAGAUUAGAACUGCCACUGGGACUGAGGCAGAGCAGCCAAAGUCAGGGUUAAGAGCCCAGGAGAGUCUUCAUUCCUUUGUGUUGGUGGAACAAAAUACCACACCCUGAAUAAUUUACAGAUGAUAGGAACUUCUACACACGCAGGGAGGUGGGGAAGUUGAAGAUCAAGGCACUGGCACACGUGGAUAUCUGGUGAAGAUUGCUCUCUGCUUCUAAAUGGUGCCUUGACACUGCCUUCUGUAGAGAAGAGGAAUUCUGUCUUACACAGCAGAAGGCGGAAGAGCAAAGGAGCCCAAGGCUGUAGGAAUCACUUUUUGUAACUAUCUUAAUCCUAUGUAAGAGGGAGGAGCCCUCAUAAAGGCCCUGCCUCUCUUAACACCAUAGCACAGCCCACUAAGUUCUAACACCUGAGAUCUGGAGGGUACACAUUCAAACCAUAGCAGGGCUGCAUGUUAACCUGCUGCAGUCCUGGUUGAAGAAGGCCUGACUGCAAGACCAGUGGGUGAUAGGUGUUUUGAAGUGCUGGUGGGCUGGAAACAGUCCACAGAAAGCCACCUGCUGGGAUGCCAGAGAAUCAGUGAGCUUAGGUAUGCUCUUAGUACUCAGAGUUUAUGGAGAAAACAACAGAAGGAGGAAGAGAAUCCUUUUCCUCUGCUCUGGUUGCAGGGUCAAGACUGACACUGCACGAAGUAGAACAGAACAAAUGUUCAUAGGUUUCAACUCUAUCAUCACCAUGCAGGGUAGAAAGCUGGGUUUGAAAGCAAGAGGUGAUACAUUGAUAACCAGAACAUGUAUGGUAAACUUACAUGCAGUUCUAGUAGCUAUGUGCUUUCCUUAAUAAUUUCUUUUCUAGUUUAUUAGCAUUUUCUGUUUUUGCUGUUGCUGUUAUUAGAUGUUAAUAAAGCAAUUUUACUUCCAUCAUUCCAACCUGGUGCCUAUUACUCUUUUUCAUAACUUACUCUACUGGAUAAGACUUCCAGGAGAAUUUUUUUUUCAGCAGUGGUAAGUAUAUACAUUCUAGGCUUUCCCCUAAUCUAAAGGGUAAAACAUUAAAAUUUUUGUCAUUAAAUGUAUUGUUAACCGUAGGUCUUCUUAAAAAAAAAAUCAAACAAAACAAAACAGGCUCUGGGGCUUGCAUUGUGGCAUGGUGGGUAAAACUGCCACCUGCCUUGCCAGCAUCUCAUGAGGGUACUGGUUCAAGCUUGGCUGCUCUACUUCCAGUCCUGCUCCCUGCUAACGGUAUGGGAAAGCAGCAAAAGAUUUCCCAAGUAACUACUUGGUCCCAUGCCACUCACAUGGGAGUCCCAAAUGAAAUGCCUGGCUCCUUGCUUUGGCCUGGCCCAGCCCUCACUGUUGCAGCCAUCUGGGGAAUGAACCAGUAGAUGGAAGAUCUAUCUCUUUCUCUGUCUCUCCCUCUAGCUCUUUAACUCUGCCUUUCAAAUAAAUAAACAAAUGAACUUUAAAAAAAAAAAAAAAACAACAACAGAUUGCCCUUUAUCAGGUUAAGAAUGAUUCCUUCUAUUCACAAUGCACUGAAAAAUCUUCAACAUGAAAAUGUUGAAUUUUCUCAAAUGAUUUCAAUGCAUUAUUUGAUAUCAUCAUACAGUUUACUUCUUUAGUCUGUGGUACCUACAGUAAAUUAUAUCAAUUGGUUUUCAGAUAUUGGCUGAACUCUGUAAUUAAUACACAGUUAUUCUUAAGUGUUGAAACUUAACUGAAAAGUGAUCCCUGUUAAAUGUAAGAGUGGGAAUAAGAGAGGGAAGAGAUGUACAAUUUGGGACAUGCUCAAUUGGACUUGCCCCAAAUGGUAGAGUUAGAAAUGUGCUGUUGGAAUACGAUCGAAGUCGGCGAGCUCAAAAGGCUUCCAUAGCCUUGGCAACUCAUGACUAGAGCCUAGGGAGAUUACUGACGCCAUAAACAAGAGUGUCAAAUUGUUAAGUCAACAGCAGGAGUCACUGUGCACUUACUCCUCAUGUAGGAUCUCUAUCCUUAAUGUGUUGUCCAAUGUGAAGUAAUGCUAUAACUAGUACUGAAACAGUAUUUUACACUUUAUGUUCUGUGUGGGUGCA
Molecule: non-coding RNA, 10049 nt
Organism: Oryctolagus cuniculus (rabbit)
Lineage: Eukaryota; Metazoa; Chordata; Mammalia; Lagomorpha; Leporidae
Source: RefSeq, a predicted model, not a curated record